GUAGCCAAGUACGGACGGGAUAAGCGCUGAAAGCAUCUAAGCGUGAAGCCCCCCUCAAGAUGAGAUUUCCCAGUAUGUAAGACCCCUUGAAGACGACGAGGUUGAUAGGUUCGGGGUGGAAGCACAGUAAUGUGUGGAGCUGACGAAUACUAAUCGGUCGAGGGCUUAUCCUAA
This 174-nucleotide ribosomal RNA is filed under the name Paenibacillus paeoniae. RNAcentral's name for it is "partial 23S ribosomal RNA". It matches the Rfam family "Bacterial large subunit ribosomal RNA", at positions 2745 to 2925 of the family's 2925-position model. The record is from RNAcentral. Lineage: Bacteria; Bacillati; Bacillota; Bacilli; Caryophanales; Paenibacillaceae.